UACGUAGGCAGCGAGCGUUGUUCGGAUUUACUGGGCGUAAAGGGUGCGUAGGCGGUUGUUUAAGUUUGGUGUGAAAUCUCCCGGCUCAACUGGGAGGGUGCGCCGAAUACUGAAUGACUUGGAGUGCGGGAGAGGAGAGUGGAAUUCCUGGUGUAGCGGUGAAAUGCGUAGAUAUCAGGAGGAACACCGGUGGUGUAGACGGCUCUCUGGACCGUAACUGACGCUGAGACACGAAAGCGUGGGUAGCAAACAGG
RNAcentral lists this ribosomal RNA (254 nucleotides) under uncultured bacterium. RNAcentral describes it as "partial 16S ribosomal RNA". It matches the Rfam family "Bacterial small subunit ribosomal RNA", at positions 524 to 776 of the family's 1533-position model. The record is from RNAcentral.